CGGGUACAACGAGUCGCAAGCUCGCGAGAGUAAGCUAAUCUCUUAAAGCCGUUCUCAGUUCGGACUGUAGGCUGCAACUCGCCUACACGAAGUCGGAAUCGCUAGUAAUCGCGGAUCAGCAUGCCGCGGUGAAUACGUUCCCGGGCCUUGUACACACCGCCCGUCACACCAUGGGAGUUUGUAACGCCCAAAGUCGGUGGCCUAACCCUUAUGGAGGGAGCCGCCUAAGGCGGGACAGAUGACUGGGGUGAAGUCGUAACAAGGUAAC
RNAcentral lists this ribosomal RNA (268 nucleotides) under uncultured bacterium. Its description in RNAcentral is "partial 16S ribosomal RNA". It matches the Rfam family "Bacterial small subunit ribosomal RNA", at positions 1234 to 1500 of the family's 1533-position model. The record is from RNAcentral.